GCCGGGACCAAGGCGUCAGCUAGCAUGGAGCUCGGGUUUAAACCCGGCUCAUGUGCCGCUGCUAUCGAUGCCAUUUCUAUGCCAGCCUUGCAGAGAUGAAUUUGAAGCUGUUGUACUGACGGUCCCAGGUCCCCAAUGUAUAGGACUCACAGCAGGAUGCAUACCUGGAAAGAUGGGUGUGGCCAAUGUCUGUUUGUUUCACAGCAUUUACUCCUACCUGCACAAAAGCAUUUUAAUAAAUAAGCAUGUCUUACUUUUUAA
Long non-coding RNA from Cheilinus undulatus (humphead wrasse), 261 nucleotides. RefSeq lists it as uncharacterized. NCBI's taxonomy places the organism in Eukaryota, Metazoa, Chordata, Actinopteri, Labriformes, Labridae. The transcript is spliced from 2 exons. The record is from RefSeq and is a predicted model, not a curated record.